GUUACAAGACACGGUCUUCUGAGACACGUGUUGCCCUUUGGGCGUUCAUCUCUUUGAGAAGAGAGAGAGAGAGAGUUGAAGGAUCGAUGGCGGAAGGCGUGCGAUGAUCCCCAGCGACUGAAGAAGAUUGCGGCUGAUAGUCGCUGUUAAUCCGUCGUGUUCUGGAGGUCGCUUCUUAAGACUAACCUUCAGCCACCACCUGCUCCUUCUCUUCGUCUGUCUAUUCUCGUUACUGGCGCGGACGAAUCAAUGUCGGAACCGUCGUGAAUUCAGCUCGCAGACGCCACGACGUCGGGGGAUUAUUAGUUUUUGGCUGUCUCUCUUCGCCGGAUUCUUCAUCUCCACCGUCUUCUAUCUCUGGUCCGAAGACGAAACUGUAUGUGAGUGGGAUCUUUUAAGGGAGGAAGACCAGUGGUUAUAUGAAUGAUAUUCAAGAGUUUGAGCCUGUGGUAAGGCCGCCAACUAUGGAAUCAAACUAUCCUUUCCUGGAGAUUGAAGAGGUUGUGGCUGGUGGUGAUGGAAUCAAACUAUACUCAUAGCAACUGUGUAUGUGCCUACUGCUAAAGGACCUUUCCUUGAGGAUCUUUCUCGCUCUGUGGUGCCUCCAAAGAAGCCAAGCAUAGCUGAGGAGCCUGCAACAUCUUUGUCUCCGUUUUCUACGGCUCGUGCAUCUCACAACACAGAUAACUCUUCUUCUCUUACCAUUCUUCUCAUGUUCAGAAAAUAAUCAAAAACUUUUUAUAUAUUUUUAUCACAAAUUCAUACAUUUUGAUCACAAAUUCAUACAUUUUAAUCACAAAUUAUACAAUACUCAAAAACAAUGUUUAAUUUUUUUUUAAGAACUCCUAAAUAAAAAACUCCCAUUGGAGCACAAAAAUGUUCAUGUCUCUUAACUAGGUCUCUUAAAUAAAAUUUAGUAUUUAAAAAUUAUUAAGAAAUCCAAAGUGAGUUUUUGGGUUAAUGAUGCUCUUAUCAGUUAAGGCGACUUAACCGUAGAUGUCAUCUGUUCCAACUUCGAAGGCAUGUGGCUACUAAGCACCACUUUUUUAGCUUGAAUUUUUAUUUAAAACUUCCCAUGGGCAUCAAUAAAGUUACAAGCAAACUAGAAUUUAAGCAAAAGACGGUACAACCAAAAUUGGUAGAUUAGAGUCAUCAGACACGCAACCAAGUUUUGGGCGCAACUCCGGAUCCUUCCCUCAUCACCAUUGCUCCGGUUAAUCCGGCAAGGGAGUUAAAUCCCACUCUCUUCCUAGCUGAAGUAACUGUAGACUUUGAAGCGCAGAAGACGACAGAAACACGUACCUGAUAACUUCGGAGACGAAACACCAAGCGCAUACUCAUAACACACAAGACAGCCAGUAAAAAGAUCACCUCAGCCGCUACAAAGAGAAACCAAAGGAACUCACCGCAAAACACACAAACACACUAAACAGAUGCAAGAAACGGGCUUGACAAGACCAUUGUACUCUCACUUGAUAUGUUCUUCAACCUGCACAAAGUGUAGACCAGCAACACUACC
Molecule: long non-coding RNA, 1519 nt
Organism: Brassica oleracea var. oleracea
Lineage: Eukaryota; Viridiplantae; Streptophyta; Magnoliopsida; Brassicales; Brassicaceae
Exons: 2
Source: RefSeq, a predicted model, not a curated record